RNA transcript from Myotis lucifugus (little brown bat), 2534 nucleotides. It is a transcript of the gene named RB binding protein 4, chromatin remodeling factor, with no coding region annotated. NCBI's taxonomy places the organism in Eukaryota, Metazoa, Chordata, Mammalia, Chiroptera, Vespertilionidae. The record is from RefSeq and is a predicted model, not a curated record. The transcript has 13 exons.
UUGGCGCGAAGGUCCGCGAAGCAGCCCUCACGCAGGGACAGCAGGAAACAAUAGAGGCCGCGCGCGGAGAGCGAGCGUUCCGUAGCUUCCCCGCCCCUCCCGCAAAACGGUAGACCUCGGGAUCCCCCUGGCUUUCCUGCACACCAUGGCCGACAAGGAAGCAGCCUUUGAUGACGCAGUAGAAGAACGCGUGAUCAACGAAGAGUACAAAAUAUGGAAAAAGAACACCCCUUUUCUUUACGAUUUGGUGAUGACCCAUGCUCUGGAGUGGCCGAGCUUAACUGCACAGUGGCUUCCCGAUGUAACCAGACCAGAAGGGAAAGAUUUCAGCAUUCAUCGACUUGUCCUGGGGACACACACAUCGGAUGAACAAAACCACCUUGUGAUAGCCAGUGUGCAACUCCCUAAUGAUGAUGCUCAGUUUGAUGCUUCACACUACGACAGUGAGAAAGGAGAAUUUGGAGGUUUUGGCUCUGUUAGUGGAAAAAUUGAAAUAGAAAUUAAGAUCAACCAUGAAGGAGAAGUAAACCGGGCACGUUAUAUGCCACAGAACCCAUGCAUCAUUGCAACAAAGACUCCAUCCAGUGAUGUUCUUGUUUUUGACUAUACAAAACAUCCUUCUAAACCAGAUCCUUCUGGAGAGUGCAACCCAGACUUGCGUCUCCGUGGACAUCAGAAGGAAGGCUAUGGGCUUUCUUGGAACCCAAAUCUGAGUGGGCAUUUACUUAGUGCUUCAGAUGACCAUACCAUCUGCCUAUGGGACAUCAGUGCUGUUCCAAAGGAAGGAAAAGUUGUGGAUGCGAAGACCAUCUUUACAGGGCAUACAGCAGUAGUAGAAGAUGUUUCCUGGCAUCUGCUCCAUGAGUCUCUGUUUGGAUCCGUUGCUGAUGAUCAGAAACUUAUGAUCUGGGAUACUCGUUCAAACAAUACUUCCAAACCAAGCCACUCAGUUGAUGCUCACACUGCUGAAGUGAACUGCCUUUCUUUUAAUCCUUAUAGUGAAUUCAUUCUUGCCACAGGAUCAGCUGAUAAGACUGUUGCCUUGUGGGAUCUGAGAAAUCUGAAACUUAAGUUGCAUUCCUUUGAAUCACAUAAGGAUGAAAUAUUCCAGGUUCAGUGGUCACCUCACAAUGAGACUAUUUUGGCUUCCAGUGGUACUGAUCGCAGACUGAAUGUCUGGGAUUUAAGUAAAAUUGGAGAGGAACAAUCCCCCGAAGAUGCAGAAGAUGGGCCACCGGAGUUGUUGUUUAUUCAUGGUGGUCACACUGCCAAGAUAUCUGAUUUCUCUUGGAAUCCCAAUGAACCUUGGGUGAUCUGUUCUGUGUCAGAAGACAAUAUCAUGCAAGUGUGGCAGAUGUGAUUUGAGAGGGAGAGGGAGAGGGAAAGAGAAAAAUGUCCAUUGCCUACUGGGGAUUGAGCCUGCAACCAAGGGUCGACCCAGAAUCAAUUUCUGGUGCACUUCCCAGUGCACAGGAUUAUACUCAACCUAUUGGGCCACACCAGCCAGGGCUUUUUACUAUGAUGAAUGAUGUCUGACUGAAGGACUCAAGAAGGCAGAGAAUAUUUAUAAUGAUGAAGACCCUGAAGGAAGUGUGGAUCCAGAAGGACAGGGGUCCUAGAUUCGUCUGCACUUGUAAUUUUAGACUGCCUGCCCUUUUCCUCUCAACCCUGAUAGUGAUUUAACACUGGUUCUGAGACACAGACUUUGUUCAGCUAUCCCUCUAUAAUAGGUACCAUCAACAAUGUUAUUAACCCAAUCCAAGGGUGUUUUCUAAAUAUUAACUGAGGGGCUUGAUUCAGCAAAGCCACAGACUUAAUAUUUAAAUUUUUUUCAGGAAUUUUCUAGUAUCAAAGAUCUAAAGUAGCCACUGAAAGGGGAAUAUUGUGUGUGGUUAUUUUAUUUUUCUCUGUAUGCCAUAUCCCCACAUUUUUCAGGCUCAUUUAAGUAAAGGCUAGAAGUAAAUAAGGAAUAGAGCCAAGAGAGGUAGGUGUGUGAGCCAUGAAGUGUAAGUACUGCAAGAUGUUUUUAUUCAGGAAUUAGGGGAGAUUUGAGUCAUAACUUCCUACUCUAAAAUCUUCACACCUGACUUUCCAGGAUGCACAUUUCCUACGUAGACUAGUCUCCUCUCCGUUUCUUAAGUCAAAAGUAUGUGUUCCUGUUUUCCAUAUAUUUUUGCUUGUUAGUGUAUUUCUUGAGCUGAUUUCAUAUUAUUUCUUUCCUUUCUGUGAAAUGGUUUUUUUUUAAAAACUUGGGACCACCAAGUUGUAAAGAUGUAUGUUUUUACCUGACAGUUAUACCACAGGUAGGCUGUCCAGCUAAGUUGAGAAGAGUGAAUCUAUAGCUUGUAUUUGUUUUUAAAAUUAAAUUAAUCCUGGAUAAGAGUUGCUUUUUUUUUUUUAGGAGUUAGUCCUUGACCACUAGUUUGAUACCAUCUCUGUUUUGGGUGACCUGUUUCACUAACAGGCCUGUUACUCUCUAUGACUAACUGUGUAAGUGCUUAUAAUGAAAUAAAUUGCUUUUCUACAUAACCCAA